AUUGAACGCUGGCGGCAUGCCUUACACAUGCAAGUCGGACGGCAGCACGGGAGCAAUCCUGGUGGCGAGUGGCGAACGGGUGAGUAAUACAUCGGAACGUGUCCUGGAGUGGGGGAUAGCCCGGCGAAAGCCGGAUUAAUACCGCAUACGCUCUAUGGAGGAAAGCGGGGGAUCUUUCGGGACCUCGCGCUCAAGGGGCGGCCGAUGGCAGAUUAGCUAGUUGGUGGGGUAAAGGCCUACCAAGRCGACGAUCUGUAGCUGGUCUGAGAGGACGACCAGCCACACUGGGACUGAGACACGGCCCAGACUCCUACGGGAGGCAGCAGUGGGGAAUUUUGGACAAUGGGCGCAAGCCUGAUCCAGCAAURCCGCGUGUGUGAAGAAGGCCUUCGGGUUGUAAAGCACUUUUGUCCGGAAAGAMAACCUCCUGGUUAAUACCCGGGGGGGAUGACGGUACCGAAAGAAUA
This 467-nucleotide ribosomal RNA is filed under the name bacterium Ellin6066. RNAcentral describes it as "bacterial SSU rRNA". It matches the Rfam family "Bacterial small subunit ribosomal RNA", at positions 29 to 488 of the family's 1533-position model. Lineage: Bacteria; Pseudomonadati; Pseudomonadota; Betaproteobacteria; Burkholderiales; Burkholderiaceae. The record is from RNAcentral.